GGGCCCGUAGCUCAGCCUGGUUAGAGCGCCGGUCUUAUAAGCCGGAAAGAUAGUAAAUCUUGGCUUGAGGUCAGGGGUUCAAAUCCCUCCGGGCCCA
This 97-nucleotide transfer RNA is filed under the name Candidatus Woesearchaeota archaeon. RNAcentral's name for it is "tRNA-Ile". It matches the Rfam family "tRNA". Rfam says of the family: Transfer RNA (tRNA) molecules are approximately 80 nucleotides in length. Lineage: Archaea; Nanobdellati; Candidatus Woesearchaeota. The record is from RNAcentral.